GGAUUGCCCCAGUAACGGCGAGUGAAGCGGCAACAGCUCAAAUUUGAAAUCUGGCCCCCCCCGGGGGGCCCGAGUUGUAAUUUGCAGAGGAUGCUUUGGGCGAGGCGCCUUCCGAGUUCCCUGGAACGGGACGCCACAGAGGGUGAGAGCCCCGUCUGGUCGGACGCCGAGCCUCUGUAAAGCUCCUUCGACGAGUCGAGUAGUUUGGGAAUGCUGCUCAAAAUGGGAGGUAUAUGUCUUCUAAAGCUAAAUACCGGCCAGAGACCGAUAGCGCACAAGUAGAGUGAUCGAAAGAUGAAAAGCACCUUGAAAAGGGGGUUAAACAGUACGUGAAAUUGUUGAAAGGGAAGCGCUCGUGACCAGACUUGGGGCGGGCGGAUCAGCCGGCGUUCUCGCCGGCGCACUCCGCCCGUCCCAGGCCAGCAUCAGUUCGCGCCGGGGGACAAAGGCGGCGGGAACGUGGCUCCCCAGGGAGUGUUAUAGCCCGCCGCGCCAUGCCCCGGGGGCGGACUGAGGGCCGCGCAUCACUGCAAGGAUGCUGGCGUAAUGGUCACCAGCGACCCGUCUUGAAACACGGGCCAAGGAGUCGUCCUCGUAUGCGAGUGUUCGGGUGUCAAACCCCUACGCGGAAUGAAAGUGAACGUGGGUGAGAGCUUCGGCGCAUCAUCGACCGAUCCUGAUGUUCUCGGAUGGAUUUGAGUAGGAGCAUACGGGGCCGGACCCGAAAGAAGGUGAACUAUGCCUGUGUAGGGUGAAGCCAGAGGAAACUCUGGUGGAGGCUCGCAGCGGUUCUGACGUGCAAAUCGAUCGUCAAACAUGGGCAUGGGGGCGAAAGACUAAUCGAACCUUC
Molecule: ribosomal RNA, 850 nt
Filed under: Hypocrella raciborskii
Lineage: Eukaryota; Fungi; Ascomycota; Sordariomycetes; Hypocreales; Clavicipitaceae
Description: eukaryotic LSU rRNA
Rfam family: Eukaryotic large subunit ribosomal RNA
Source: RNAcentral